This 461-nucleotide ribosomal RNA is filed under the name Streptococcus anginosus. RNAcentral's name for it is "bacterial SSU rRNA". It matches the Rfam family "Bacterial small subunit ribosomal RNA", at positions 28 to 465 of the family's 1533-position model. The record is from RNAcentral. Lineage: Bacteria; Bacillati; Bacillota; Bacilli; Lactobacillales; Streptococcaceae.
GACGAACGCUGGCGGCGUGCCUAAUACAUGCAAGUAGGACGCACAGUCUAUACCGUAGCUUGCUACACCAUAGACUGUGAGUUGCGAACGGGUGAGUAACGCGUAGGUAACCUGCCUAUUAGAGGGGGAUAACUAUUGGAAACGAUAGCUAAUACCGCAUAACAGUAUGUAACACAUGUUAGAUGCUUGAAAGAUGCAAUUGCAUCGCUAGUAGAUGGACCUGCGUUGUAUUAGCUAGUAGGUAGGGUAAUGGCCUACCUAGGCGACGAUACAUAGCCGACCUGAGAGGGUGAUCGGCCACACUGGGACUGAGACACGGCCCAGACUCCUACGGGAGGCAGCAGUAGGGAAUCUUCGGCAAUGGGGGGAACCCUGACCGAGCAACGCCGCGUGAGUGAAGAAGGUUUUCGGAUCGUAAAGCUCUGUUGUUAAGGAAGAACGAGUGUGAGAAUGGAAAGUUC